Molecule: ribosomal RNA, 469 nt
Filed under: uncultured bacterium
Lineage: Bacteria
Description: SSU rRNA
Rfam family: Bacterial small subunit ribosomal RNA
Source: RNAcentral
AGGACGAACGCUGGCGGCGUGCUUAACACAUGCAAGUCGAGCGGAAAGGCCCUUCGGGGUACUCGAGCGGCGAACGGGUGAGUAACACGUGAGUAACCUGCCCCUAGCUCUGGGAUAGCUCCGGGAAACCGGGAUUAAUACCAGAUACGACCACUUUAGACAUCUGUCGUGGUGGAAAGGAUUCCGGCUAGGGAUGGGCUCGCGGCCUAUCAGCUUGUUGGUGGGGUAACGGCCUACCAAGGCGACGACGGGUAGCCGGCCUGAGAGGGCGACCGGCCACACUGGGACUGAGACACGGCCCAGACUCCUACGGGAGGCAGCAGUGGGAAUAUUGCGCAAUGGGCGAAAGCCUGACGCAGCGACGCCGCGUGGGGAUGAAGGCCUUCGGGUUGUAACCCUUUCAGCAGGACGAAGCGAAAGUGACGGUACCUGCAGAAGAAGCGCCGGCUAACUACGCGCCAGCAGCCGC